This 489-nucleotide ribosomal RNA is filed under the name uncultured bacterium. RNAcentral describes it as "partial 16S ribosomal RNA". It matches the Rfam family "Bacterial small subunit ribosomal RNA", at positions 28 to 507 of the family's 1533-position model. The record is from RNAcentral.
GACGAACGCUGGCGGCGUGCUUAACACAUGCAAGUCGAACGGUGAAGGGAUCAGCUUGCUGGUUCUGGAUGAGUGGCGAACGGGUGAGUAACACGUGAGUAACCUGCCCCCUUCUUCUGGAUAACCGCAUGAAAGUGUGGCUAAUACGGGAUAUUCUGGGUCUGUCGCAUGAUGGGUCUGGGAAAGAUAUUGUUUCGGUGGGGGAUGGGCUCGCGGCCUAUCAGCUUGUUGGUGGGGUGAUGGCCUACCAAGGCGGUGACGGGUAGCCGGCCUGAGAGGGGGGACGGUCACACUGGGACUGAGACACGGCCCAGACUGCUACGGGAGGAAGCAGUGGGGAAUAUUGCACAAUGGGCGCAAGCCUGAUGCAGCGACGCCGCGUGAGGGAUGGAGGCCUUCGGGUUGUAAACCUCUUUCGCCAGUGAAGCAGGCCUGCUCCUUGUGGGUGGGUUGACGGUAGCUGGAUAAGAAGCGCCGGCUAACUACGUG